RNAcentral lists this ribosomal RNA (233 nucleotides) under uncultured bacterium. Its description in RNAcentral is "partial 16S ribosomal RNA". It matches the Rfam family "Bacterial small subunit ribosomal RNA", at positions 103 to 334 of the family's 1533-position model. The record is from RNAcentral.
CGGGUGAGUAACGCGUGAGGAACCUGCCUCAAAGAGGGGGACAACAGUUGGAAACGACUGCUAAUACCGCAUAAGCCCACAGGUCGGCAUCGACCAGAGGGAAAAGGAGCAAUCCGCUUUGAGAUGGCCUCGCGUCCGAUUAGCUAGUUGGUGAGGUAAUGGCCCACCAGGGCAACGAUCGGUAGCCGGACUGAGAGGUUGAACGGCCACAUUGGGACUGAGACACGGCCCAG